This 433-nucleotide ribosomal RNA is filed under the name uncultured bacterium. RNAcentral describes it as "partial 16S ribosomal RNA". It matches the Rfam family "Bacterial small subunit ribosomal RNA", at positions 29 to 507 of the family's 1533-position model. The record is from RNAcentral.
AACGAACGCUGGCGGCAUGCCUAACACAUGCAAGUCGAACGAGACCUUCGGGUCUAGUGGCGCACGGGUGCGUAACGCGUGGGAACCUGCCCUUAGGUUCGGAAUAACUCCCCGAAAGGGGUGCUAAUACCGGAUAAUGUCUUCGGACCAAAGAUUUAUCGCCUUUGGAUGGGCCCGCGUUGGAUUAGCUAGUUGGUAGGGUACAAGCCUACCAAGGCGUCGAUCCAUAGCUGGUCUGAGAGGAUGAUCAGCCACACUGGGACUGAGACACGGCCCAGACUCCUACGGGAGGCAGCAGUGGGGAAUAUUGGACAAUGGGCGAAGGCCUGAUCCAGCAAUGCCGCGUGAGUGAUGAAGGCCUUAGGGUUGUAAAGCUCUUUUACCCGGGAUGAUAAUGACAGUACCGGGAGAAUAAGCACCGGCUAACUCCGUG